CCUACGGGAGGCAGCAGUGGGGGAUAUUGGACAAUGGGGGAAACCCUGAUCCAGCGACGCCGCGUGAGUGAAGAAGUAUUUCGGUAUGUAAAGCUCUGUCAGCAGGGAAGAAAGUAAUGACGGUACCUGACCAAGAAGCCCCCGCUAACUACCUGCCAGCAGCCGCGGUAAUACGUAGGGGGCAAGCGUUAUCCGGAAUUACUGGGUGUAAAGGGAGCGUAGACGGUGAUUCAAGUCUGGAGUGAAAGCCGGUGGCUUAACCGCCGAACUGCUUUGGAAACGGGGUAACUUGAGUGCAGGAGAGGUAAGCGGAAUUCCUAGUGUAGCGGUGAAAUGCGUAGAUAUUAGGAGGAACACCAGUGGCGAAGGCGGCUGACUGGACUGUAACUGACGUUGAGGCUCGAAAGCGUGGGGAGCAAACAGGAUUAGAUACCCGAGUAGUC
This 443-nucleotide ribosomal RNA is filed under the name uncultured bacterium. RNAcentral describes it as "partial 16S ribosomal RNA". It matches the Rfam family "Bacterial small subunit ribosomal RNA", at positions 338 to 795 of the family's 1533-position model. The record is from RNAcentral.